CAUCGAGUUUUUUGAACGCAAGUUGCGCCCGAAGCCUUUGGCCGAGGGCACGCCUGCCUGGGCGUCACGC
RNAcentral lists this ribosomal RNA (70 nucleotides) under Agrostemma githago (corn cockle). RNAcentral's name for it is "partial 5.8S ribosomal RNA". Lineage: Eukaryota; Viridiplantae; Streptophyta; Magnoliopsida; Caryophyllales; Caryophyllaceae. The record is from RNAcentral.